Molecule: ribosomal RNA, 370 nt
Filed under: uncultured organism
Description: partial 16S ribosomal RNA
Rfam family: Bacterial small subunit ribosomal RNA
Source: RNAcentral
GUAGGGUGCAAGCGUUAAUCGGAAUUACUGGGCGUAAAGCGUGCGCAGGCGGGCUUUGUAAGUCUGACGUGAAAUCCCCGGGGCUUAACCUGGGAAUUGCGUUGGAGACUGCAAGGCUGGAGUCUGGCAGAGGGGGUAGAAUUCCACGUGUAGCAGUGAAAUGCGUAGAGAUGUGGAGGAACACCGAUGGCGAAGGCAGCCCCCUGGGUCAAGACUGACGCUCAUGCACGAAAGCGUGGGGAGCAAACAGGAUUAGAUACCCUGGUAGUCCACGCCCUAAACGAUGUCUACUAGUUGUCGGGUCUUAAUUGACUUGGUAACGCAGCUAACGCGUGAAGUAGACCGCCUGGGGAGUACGGUCGCAAGAUUA